RNAcentral lists this ribosomal RNA (477 nucleotides) under uncultured bacterium. Its description in RNAcentral is "bacterial SSU rRNA". It matches the Rfam family "Bacterial small subunit ribosomal RNA", at positions 28 to 507 of the family's 1533-position model. The record is from RNAcentral.
GAUGAACGCUGGGCGGCGUGCCUCAAACAUGCAAGUCGAGCGGGGCUAUGUAAUAUCGCAAGGUAGAACAUAGCCUAGCGGCGAACGGGUGAGUAACACGUGGGUAACCUGCCUGGAAGACAGGGAUAACGAUUCGAAAGGGUCGCUAAUACCUGAUAAUAUCCUUUCAUCGCAUGGUGAUAGGAAGAAAGGGGAAACCCGCUUUCAGAUGGGCCCGCGUCCCAUCAGCUAGUUGGUAAGGUAAAGGCUUACCAAGGCGACGACGGGUAGCCGGUCUGAGAGGAUGUACGGCCACACUGGGACUGAGAUACGGCCCAGACUCCUACGGGAGGCAGCAGUUGGGAAUCUUAGGCAAUGGACGAAAGUCUGACCUAGCGACGCCGCGUGAGGGAAGAAGGCCUUCGGGUUGUAAACCUCUGUCAUGGGGGAAGAAGUAAGUGACGGUACCCCCAAGAGGAAGCCCCUGCUAACUACGUG